UUUUUUUUCAUUUUCUCGGUCCUCCUCUUCACCUUCUAUGCUUCUGCUUCUGCUUCUGCUUCUGCUUCAACCAUAGUCAUCGUCGCUGCUGCUUCUGCCAUCUCCAUCCCCACCGCUGCUUCUGCCAUCGUCGCUUCUGAGAUGAAGAAUGUAGUCUCAAGGUUAUUACAUAUUGUUCGCCCCCCAUCAAUCCACACAACAAGAAGCUUCGAGUUGCCCUAAUUUGAAGAAAUCGUUCAACGAUUCUACUUAAUUCAAUUUUCCCAGGGGAGCGACAUUGAAGAAAAAUCACAGCACCUGAAACGGAGAAGAUGACCAUAGUAGGAGAAGCAAAGCCACGGGAGAAAAGGAGGCAACACCAACCAUCAUUAUUCCAGUUCGUUGCUUCACCUGCAGUAAGAUCAACUAAUUCUCUAAAAAGGUGUAAGAAAGGAGCGAGCUGCACUUGGCGCUAUCUUAUUCUUGUUGGCUUUCGUGUAUGCUUUAUGGCCAAUGUGCAUCCACUCUCCCAUUCCCUCACCUGAUUAAGGUGUAUGGGACAUAAUAAAGGCUGGGAGGAAGUGGCCUCCAUGUUUACUAGUUCAGUAAUAGAAUUGAAGACAUGCAAUGCUGCUUUGCUUGAAGGCACUGGAAAAUCCUGGGUAGAGAUGAUCUUAUCGUUUUUACUCCCAUUUGCUCUCGUUCCACUUCCCAAAUUUACCAGCAGUAAGGCAAAGAUGGGUGUUCAUGCUAACUCAUUCAUGGCACCUGGAUGAUUGGCUCCUUGAUCAUGGUCAUUAACAUUUACUUCAUUGCAAGCAGUUUUAUCAAGGUAGAAUACCCAGCUCCUGGCAAUAACAAGGCAUGAAGAUCAACAACUUCCUGGGGAAGACAUAGUUAACAUGCAACUGCCUCAAAGAAGGACAAAUGCAGACGAUAUUGAGUAAUUGGUAUUCAACAAUCCGAGGGAGAAGCCUUUUACCGUUGAGUAGAUAAAUGAAGUUCGAGAAAAGUUGGCAAAGUUCAUUACCAUUUAUUGUCUUUGAUAUUUUCUUGUAGUGAAUCUUAGAUUAUGGAUGCUAGUUUUUCAUAGGAUUGUCAUGUAAUCAAUUUUUAUAUUAUAAUUAUAUACUAUUUAAUUUAAUUAUCUAUAUAAUUUGAUUUUUUUUA
This is a long non-coding RNA of Spinacia oleracea (spinach), 1149 nucleotides long. RefSeq lists it as uncharacterized. The transcript has 8 exons. The record is from RefSeq and is a predicted model, not a curated record. NCBI's taxonomy places the organism in Eukaryota, Viridiplantae, Streptophyta, Magnoliopsida, Caryophyllales, Amaranthaceae.